Molecule: ribosomal RNA, 214 nt
Filed under: uncultured bacterium
Lineage: Bacteria
Description: partial 16S ribosomal RNA
Rfam family: Bacterial small subunit ribosomal RNA
Source: RNAcentral
ACUCCUACGGGAGGCAGCAGUGGGGAAUAUUGCACAAUGGGCGCAAGCCUGAUGCAGCCAUGCCGCGUGUAUGAAGAAGGCCUUCGGGUUGUAAAGUACUUUUAGCGGGGAGGAAGGGGGUGAGGUUAAUAACCUUGUCAAUUGACGUUACCCGCAGAAGAAGCACCGGCUAACUCCGUGCCAGCAGCCGCGGUAAUACGGAGGGUGCAAGCGU